RNAcentral lists this ribosomal RNA (298 nucleotides) under uncultured bacterium. Its description in RNAcentral is "partial 16S ribosomal RNA". It matches the Rfam family "Bacterial small subunit ribosomal RNA", at positions 475 to 776 of the family's 1533-position model. The record is from RNAcentral.
CUAUGCGCCUUGCCAGCCCGCUCAGGUGUGCCAGCCGCCGCGGUAAUACGGAGGAUGCGAGCGUUAUCCGGAUUUAUUGGGUUUAAAGGGUGCGCAGGCGGAUUUUUAAGUCAGCGGUCAAAUCGUGGGGCUCAACCCCAUCCAGCCGUUGAAACUGGGGAUCUAGAGUGUGCGAGAGGUAUGCGGAAUGCGUGGUGUAGCGGUGAAAUGCAUAGAUAUCACGCAGAACCCCGAUUGCGAAGGCAGCAUACCGGUGCACAACUGACGCUCAGGCACGAAAGCGUGGGUAUCGAACAGG